AUUGAACGCUGGCGGCAUGCUUUACACAUGCAAGUCGAACGGUAACAGGUUAAGCUGACGAGUGGCGAACGGGUGAAUAAUGCAUCGGAACGUGCCCGAUCGUGGGGGAUAGCGCAGCGAAAGCUGCGCUAAUACCGCAUACGAUAUGAGGAUGAAAUCGGGGGACCGGAAGGCUUCGCGCGUUAGGAGCGGCCGAUGUCAGAUUAGGUAGUUGGUGGGGUAAAGGCUCAACAAGCUAACGAUCUGUAGAUGGUCUGAGAGGACGACCAGCCACACUGGGACUGAGACACGGCCCAGACUCCUACGGGAGGCAGCAGUGGGGAAUUUUGGACAAUGGGCGAAAGCCUGAUCCAGCAAUGCCGCGUGCAGGAAGAAGGCCUUCGGGUUGUAAACUGCUUUUGUACGGAGCGAAAAGGUCUCCUCUAAUACAGGGGGCUCAUGACGGUACCGUAAGAAUAAGCACCGGCUAACUACGUACCAGCCGCCGCCGUAA
This 493-nucleotide ribosomal RNA is filed under the name uncultured bacterium. Its description in RNAcentral is "partial 16S ribosomal RNA". It matches the Rfam family "Bacterial small subunit ribosomal RNA", at positions 30 to 523 of the family's 1533-position model. The record is from RNAcentral.